CCUACGGGUGGCAGCAGUGAGGAAUAUUGGUCAAUGGCCGGAAGGCUGUACCAGCCAAGCCGCGUGAAGGACGAAGGUGCCAAGCAUUGUAAACUUCUUUUGUCAAGGGACAAAAUUAGGCUCGAGAGCCUGACCGAGGGUACUUGAAGAAAAAGCAUCGGCUAACUCCGUGCCAGCAGCCGCGGUAAUACGGAGGAUGCGAGCGUUAUCCGGAUGUAUUGGGUGUAAAGGGUGCGUAGGCGGACUGUUAAGUUAGCGGGAAAAGGCCCGGGCUCAAACCCGGACGGGCCGUUGAAACUGGCUGGCUUGAGAUGUCGAGAGGUAUGCGGAAUGCGCAGUGUAGCGGUGAAAUGCUUAGAUAUUGCGCAGAACUCCGAUUGCGAAGGCAGCAUACCGGCGGCGAUCUGACGCUGAGGCACGAAAGCGUGGGUAUCGAACAGGAUUAGAUACCCGUGUAGUC
RNAcentral lists this ribosomal RNA (460 nucleotides) under uncultured bacterium. Its description in RNAcentral is "partial 16S ribosomal RNA". It matches the Rfam family "Bacterial small subunit ribosomal RNA", at positions 338 to 795 of the family's 1533-position model. The record is from RNAcentral.